UCUCUUGUAGUUGAAUAACAACGGUGGUUUUUCAAGCCAUUAGCUCAGGUUAGAGUGCCUGGCGGGAAUU
RNAcentral lists this transfer RNA (70 nucleotides) under Sphyraena japonica (Japanese barracuda). RNAcentral's name for it is "tRNA-Glu". The record is from RNAcentral. Lineage: Eukaryota; Metazoa; Chordata; Actinopteri; Sphyraenidae.